RNAcentral lists this ribosomal RNA (468 nucleotides) under uncultured bacterium. Its description in RNAcentral is "partial 16S ribosomal RNA". It matches the Rfam family "Bacterial small subunit ribosomal RNA", at positions 28 to 507 of the family's 1533-position model. The record is from RNAcentral.
GACGAACGCUGGCGGCGUGCUUAACACAUGCAAGUCGAACGGAAAGACCCUGCUCUUGUGGCGUGCUCGAGUGGCGAACGGGUGAGUAACACGCGAGUAACCUGCCCUUGACUUUGUGAUAACUUCAGGAAAAUCGGGCUCAUACCGGAUAGAAUCUCCUGCUGCAUGGGGGUGGUAGGAAAGUUUCGGCGGUUGGGGAUGGACUCGCGGCUUAUCAGCUUGUUGGGCGGGUAGUGACGUACCAAGGUUAUGACGGGUAGCCGGCCUGAGAGGGUGACCGGCCACAUUGGGCCUGAGAUACGGCGCAGACGCCUACGGGCGGCAGCAGUGGGGAGUCUUGCACAAUGGCGGGGAGCCUGAUGCAGCAGCGCCGCGUGCGGGAUGCCGGCCUUCGGGUUGUAAACAGCUUUCGACGGUGCUGAAGAGUGAGUGACGGUAAUGGGUAAAGAAGCAACGGCUAACUACGUG